AAGGGGGGCAGCAUGGUCUUAGCUUGCUAAGGCCGAUGGCGACCGGCGCACGGGUGAGUAACGCGUAUCCCACUUGCCUUACACUCUUGGACAGCCUUCUGAAAGGGAGAUUACAUACAAGAUGUUAUCAUGAGUAAGCAUUUUCGCAUGAUUAAAGGUUUACCGGUGUAAGAUGGGGAUGCGUUCCAUUAGAUAGUAGGCGGGGUAACGGCCCACCUAGUCUUCGAUGGAUAGGGGCUCUGAGAGGAAGGUCCCCCACAUUGGAACUGAGACACGGUCCAAACUCCUACGGGAGGCAGCAGUGAGGAAUAUUGGUCAAUGGACGAGAGUCUGAACCAGCCAAGUAGCGUGAAGGAUGAAGGUUCUAUGGAUUGUAAACUUCUUUUAUACGGGAAUAAACGGAUCCACGUGUGGAUUUUUGCAUGUACCGUAUGAAUAAGGAUCGGCUAACUCCGUGCCAGCAGCCGCGGUAAUACGGAGGAUCCGAGCGUUAUCCGGAUUUAUUGGGUUUAAAGGGAGCGUAGAUGGGUUGUUAAGUCAGUUGUGAAAGUUUGCGGCUCAACCGUAAAAUUGCAAUUGAUACUGGCAGUCUUGAGUACAGUUGAGGUAGGCGGAAUUCGUGGUGUAGCGGUGAAAUGCUUAGAUAUCACGAAGAACUCCGAUUG
RNAcentral lists this ribosomal RNA (665 nucleotides) under uncultured Bacteroides sp. RNAcentral describes it as "bacterial SSU rRNA". It matches the Rfam family "Bacterial small subunit ribosomal RNA", at positions 64 to 715 of the family's 1533-position model. Lineage: Bacteria; Pseudomonadati; Bacteroidota; Bacteroidia; Bacteroidales; Bacteroidaceae. The record is from RNAcentral.